This is a long non-coding RNA of Lycium ferocissimum, 2854 nucleotides long. RefSeq lists it as uncharacterized. The record is from RefSeq and is a predicted model, not a curated record. The transcript has 2 exons. Lineage: Eukaryota; Viridiplantae; Streptophyta; Magnoliopsida; Solanales; Solanaceae.
UUCCUCGGUUGUGCUUUUGGAUGUUAUUACAGAUUGAACAAUCUUUCAGUAGCUAGUGUCUUCACUACCUAUUACAGAUUUUAAAAAUCUUAUGCUGCAAGACUUGUUAGACAGCAACCUUGGCAGAUGCAUGUCUUCUAUCCCUUUGCCCAUUUCAAAAGUAACAUUGUGGUCUAGUGGUCAAUGAAGUGGGUGGGUGGGGGGAGGGGUGGGGGAGGAGAACUAUGAGGUCUCAGGUUCAAAUUUCAGCUCAGGUAGAAAAUGCCAGGUGAUUUCUUCUCAUCUGCCUAAGUCUUGGGUGGUAGAAUUAACCGGUCGGCCGGUACCCAUGCUGGAGGAAGCAGGCACCCUGUGAAAUAGUUGAGGUGUGUGCAAGCUGGCCCUGACACCACCACCAUAAAAAAAGGAACAGUAAAAUGUCCAUGAAUAUAAAUACUGCUUUGUGCCCCUAGGGCGUUGGUGGUUGGAGCGCAAUAUGUGAGUGUGGAUUAGGAGCACCUCAUGGACUAGAACCUUCUAGAACCUUAGCACAAACAAAAGCCUGGUAUUAAGUGGAGAAGGGUAGAUGAGUGGGUUCAUUAUCCACCAAGUUUCAAACCAUGCACCACUGACCCUCGAGAAUUUCUCGAUCGUAAAAAAAAAACAAUAAAUAAAUACAGAUGAAGUGUGAUUCAAAUUCAUACUGACACUCAUCUUUGAAAGUUGAUAUCGCGGAACACCAGAGUUUCUAAUACGAUUACUAUGGGACCUGAUAAGUGAUGUACAAUAAGAUGUUUCAAGAGGUAUAUAAUAGUGGAUAUAGUUGUUUUUAUCAUGUUUGUAUCUUCUAGUCAGGAAUAUAGAUUGAAGAUGAUAUAUAUCAUUACUUGUUUUUUUUUUUUUUUUAAUAACUGUCCUCUGCAAGCUGGAUCUUAGUCCAACUUCUUUGUGCUCUCCUCUUUUGAUUGAAUGCAAUUUCUACAAAUAAGAUCGAGUAGGAAAAUGAUGCUAUAUCAAGAUAGGAAGAAGCAAUUGACGAUCACAGAUAGGGAGGUUGUAAGCUACUAAACGUACGGUAAAAUCAAUAUCAGGUUGAAUAGAUAAAGGGAUCUCUGACCACUUAUUAUCAUAUGACAAUAUAGGUUGAGCAUAGAACACAUAAGAGUCAAUGUGCAUGAGGUGUAAACGUCAAUCUCAAGUCCUCUUGAAAAGGUUUAGCUUAAGAGAGGUCGUUUGCUUUCUUUGCCUUCUCUUGAGAUGCCUUCUUCCCAAAAACCAACUAAGACUUCUUAAUUGGUUAGUUGUAAAUAAAACCGGGAAGAAUUUAACAUAAGGCAGACAUUUGCUUUCUAUGCUUUGCUUUGAGACAUAAUCAUUCCAGAGAGUCAGAGACCAAAACAGACUUCUUUAUUGGCUAACCAUAAAUACUCCCAUGGCUGGGCUUGCCUCGCUGUAGGUUGGCCUUUUUGUUUGACUAAGUAGUAUUUUACUAGUGCAGUAGUGUAUAUGUUGCGGUUAGCUAUGAUAUACUCAGCUUUCUUCUUUAGUAGGUUCAUUUACAAUAUGUGGCAGUGCUUUCUUGAAAAUUCAUCUCAAACCUGUUAGGUGGUCUAUUUGUUCGUGUUUUAAAUGCAUCUUCAAUAUGUUCAAACAUGUUAAUUACUUAUAUGAUGUGUUGAAUUAUUUGCGGUUUAAAUCUAGGCUAGCUUUGGGCCCUAGGGCUUUGGUCUAAUGGUAACUGGUAAGAGCACAACUUGUGAUGUGUGGGUUAGGCACAUGUUACGGGUUUGAACCCUGCCACGGAUAAAAGCUUGGUGUGUAAAUGAAGAAAGGGUAGAGCGGCUCAUCAUCCACCGAGAAAGAUUGGUGUGUAAAUGAAGAAAGGGUAGAGCGGCUCAUCAUCCACUGAGUUUUGAACCGUGUGCCACAAGCCCUCGUUGGUUUAACCGUUAUCAAAAAAAAAAGUCUAGGCUAGGUUUGGCAGAUACUUCCACGAUUUGACUUUUACUGCAGUCAUCAUGUGAUCUCUAUUUCGUUCUUCUCAACUUUCCUGUAUUGUAUUUGUAGUUUGGUAGACAAAUAAAAAUUUGACAUUAGGUAUACCAACAAAACACAUUCGAUGGAAAGUGUAAAUUGCAUACGUUGAGGAUAAAGUUAGAGAAGGUCGCUUGAGAUGCUUUUCCUUUAUCCUAUGUAGACCUCCUAACUAUGUUUGUGCUUAGGUACGACAUGACGUUAUGAUUGUUGAAGGUGUUAGAACAGAACAAGAUAGAUCUAAGUUACAUGGAGAGAAGUUGUCUCAAAAGACCUUCAAUCUUUUGAAAUUAUGCGGACUUAACUAACAAGUCGAAUGAAAGCAAAGGACUUAUAUACAUAAUAUCAACUAGUUGGAAUUAAGAAUUGCUUGUUAUUGGAACACCUGAGGUUUGUAUGUUUUAGUUUGAUUAGAGGUUUGUAUGUCAGUUCAAGGAUGAGUUUAAGAUUUGGUAUUGAGUGUUGGAAUGAAAUGAGACCAAAUAGUGGAAUAGAUAUUGAGGAUUCUUGUAAACGACUCCAAUUAGUUUGACAUUGAGAUAUAUUUGUUUGUUGAUAUUCCAGAGAAUAGUAUAUAUUUUUCUUUAACAAUGGCGUCUGCCAAACUUGGUUCGAUAGAUGGUAAACUUAUAAGGUUUACCGAAGAGCAGACACUCAACUUCUUUGAGCAGAGAUGUUAGCUUAGCUGAACUUUUUGUGUGAGUCGUUCUUGAUGAGGUUCAUCUCAGCUGUCAUUAGUUGUUAAUCAUUGGGCAACAUAUUGCAUUCAGUUUUUGAUUUAAGCUGGUUCUGUGAUUAGAAAAAAAAAACUGGUUUUAUUCAAACACUGAUGCACAUGCAG